CCUUCGAUAGCUCAGCUGGUAGAGCGGAGGACUGUAGCUACUAUUCCUAGCAAGACAUCCUUAGGUCGCUGGUUCGAUUCCGGCUCGAAGGA
Molecule: transfer RNA, 92 nt
Filed under: Pteropus alecto (black flying fox)
Lineage: Eukaryota; Metazoa; Chordata; Mammalia; Chiroptera; Pteropodidae
Also listed under: 1 other name
Rfam family: tRNA
About the family: Transfer RNA (tRNA) molecules are approximately 80 nucleotides in length. Their secondary structure includes four short double-helical elements and three loops (D, anti-codon, and T loops).
Source: Rfam by way of RNAcentral